GGGGAUGCCGAGAAUUGAUGGACUGUUCAUUCCAUUUCCGCAGACCGAGUGCCGGGAUCACUCGUGAAACCCUCCCGACAAAGACAACUGCCAACGUCUUCAACAAGAUGAAGGAAGCGGUCGCGUCAGCGUUCCGUGCUCCGGCAUCUGCCAUGGCUAUCGCCUAAACGAUACGUCCAUGCCGAUCCGCCGCCAUCCGCCCGAGGAUGCGGCCCAGAUCGUCAUUUUCUCGGGAUUGCUCUCCGGGCGCGUCACCGCGCGGGGAGGACUCGGCUCGUGACAACGGAAUUCCGGUCUUGUCCGUUUUUUACGGAAUUCCGCAAUCCGAACGGACUAUGUCUGUGAACGAGGAAGUGGUCUGACGGGACCAGACGGGGGUGCGACUCCCCCCAUCUCCACCA
RNAcentral lists this transfer-messenger RNA (401 nucleotides) under Patescibacteria group. Its description in RNAcentral is "2-12-FULL-60-25 sp003576745 Standard tmRNA". It matches the Rfam family "transfer-messenger RNA". From Rfam's summary of the family: Bacterial tmRNA, also known as 10Sa RNA or SsrA, is named for its dual tRNA and mRNA-like properties. RNAcentral also lists the same sequence under 3 other names. The record is from RNAcentral.